Molecule: ribosomal RNA, 493 nt
Filed under: uncultured bacterium
Lineage: Bacteria
Description: partial 16S ribosomal RNA
Rfam family: Bacterial small subunit ribosomal RNA
Source: RNAcentral
GGAUGAACGCUAGCUACAGGCUUAACACAUGCACGUCGAGGGGAAACGGCAUCGAACGCUUGCUUUUGAUGGGCGUCGACCGGCGCACGGGUGAGUAACGCGUAUCCAACCUGCCCAUCACUUGGGAAUAACCUUGCGAAAGUAAGACUAAUGCCCAAUGACAUCCCACGAAGGCAUCCGAAUGGGAUUAAAGAUUUAUCGGUGAUGGAUGGGGAUGCGUCUGAUUAGCUUGUUGGCGGGGUGACGGCCCACCAAGGCAACGAUCAGUAGGGGUUCUGAGAGGAAGGUCCCCCACAUUGGAACUGAGACACGGUCCAAACUCCUACGGGAGGCAGCAGUGAGGAAUAUUGGUCAAUGGGCGAGAGCCUGAACCAGCCAAGUAGCGUGCAGGAUGACGGCCCUAUGGGUUGUAAACUGCUUUUAUAAGGGAAUAAAGUGGGUCACGUGUGACUUUUUGCAUGUACCUUAUGAAUAAGGACCGGCUAAUUCCGUG